RNAcentral lists this ribosomal RNA (509 nucleotides) under Balanodytes sp. ACRO_sp_119. Its description in RNAcentral is "partial 16S ribosomal RNA". It matches the Rfam family "Bacterial large subunit ribosomal RNA", at positions 1861 to 2633 of the family's 2925-position model. The record is from RNAcentral. Lineage: Eukaryota; Metazoa; Arthropoda; Thecostraca; Lithoglyptida; Lithoglyptidae.
GCCCACUGGUUUAUUCUAAAGGGCCGCAGUAUCCUAACUGUGCUAAGGUAGCAUAAUCAUUUGUUUCUUAAUUAGGGACUUGUAUGAACGGUUUAACGAAGAAAUAACUUUUUUUAGUUUACCAAAUGAAAUUUACUUUUUAGUUAAAAGGCUAAAAUUAUUUAAAAAGACGAGAAGACCCUAAAGAGUUUUAUAUAUAGAUUUUUAAAAACUAAUUUACAUAAUUCUCUUUAUAAAUUAAUAUAUUUGGUUGGGGCGAUCAAAAAAUAUAAAAAACUUUAUUUAUAAAACCUUCUUUAAAGAUUAAAUGAUCCAGUUUUAAUGAUUACAAGAAAAAAUUACCUUAGGGAUAACAGCGUUAUACUUAUUGAGAGUUCUUAUUGACAUAAGUGUUUGCGACCUCGAUGUUGGACUAAAAGUGUACCAUAAUGCAGCAGUUAUUGUUUAUAUGUCUGUUCGACCUUUAAUUUUUUACACGAUCUGAGUUCAGACCGGCGUAAGCCAGGUUG